UUCAACGCCGGAAAACUCACCGGGAGCGACCUUUGGAUGAGAGUCAACUUGAUGAGUUUACUCGAUAGAAGGAGAGGUGGUGCAUGGCCGUCGUCAGCUCGUACCGUAGGGCGUUCACUUAAGUGUGAUAACGAGCGAGACCCCCAUCUCUAAUUGCCAGUAUGUCUUUGCGGACAUGCGCACUUUAGAGGGACCGCCAGCGCUAAGCUGGAGGAAGGAGGGGUCGACGGCAGGUCAGUACGCCCCGAAUCUCCCGGGCUACACGCGCGCUACAAAGGACAGGACAAUGAGUUGCAACCUCGAAAGGGGGAGCUAACCUCGAAACCUGUUCAUAGUUAGGAUUGAGGGCUGUAACUCGCCCUCAUGAAUGUGGAUUCCGUAGUAAUCGCGGGUCAACAGCCCGCGGUGAAUAUGCCCCUGCUCCUUGCACACACCGCCCGUCAAACCAUCCGAGCUGGUGUUGGAUGAGGGUAUGCCCGAGAGGACAAACUCGAAUCUGAUGUCAGUGAGGA
This 512-nucleotide ribosomal RNA is filed under the name uncultured Thermoplasma sp. RNAcentral describes it as "bacterial SSU rRNA". It matches the Rfam family "Archaeal small subunit ribosomal RNA", at positions 911 to 1424 of the family's 1478-position model. Lineage: Archaea; Methanobacteriati; Thermoplasmatota; Thermoplasmata; Thermoplasmatales; Thermoplasmataceae. The record is from RNAcentral.